Caenorhabditis elegans is the source of this 331-nucleotide non-coding RNA. Lineage: Eukaryota; Metazoa; Nematoda; Chromadorea; Rhabditida; Rhabditidae. The record is from Ensembl.
AAGGCUGUGAUGGGGUGGGAGAUAAGGGGAGGAGACAACGGAGCAACAAGAAGACGGAAUUUGAAAAUAAUGGUAUUGUGGGUGGGGGUUAAGAUGUGAAAUGUGUCUUCUCUCCGAUGGUGAGGUAGAGAACGAAUGAAGCAGGUAGGGUGAGAGCUAGAGGAUAGGAAGCUUCCGAGGGGUUGGGGAGGUUUGUAUGCGAAACGCGCCGCCCUCUCCGUCUUCUUCGUUUCUAUCUUUCGUCUCUUCUCCUCUCCGCGUAUACUGUACCGGUGCGGAGAUUCGCACACGACGCUUGAGAAGGUGGCGAAGACGGAGAGAGGUCAGUACU